GACAGAGGGGGCAAGCGUUGCUCGGAAUUACUGGGCGUAAAGGGCGCGUAGGCGGGAUGGCGAGUCGGUCGUGAAAUCCCUCGGCUCAACUGAGGAACGUCGAUCGAUACUGCUGUUCUUGAGGAUUGCAGAGGAGACUGGAAUUCCCGGUGUAGCGGUGAAAUGUGUAGAGAUCGGGAGGAACACCGGUGGCGAAGGCGGGUCUCUGGGCAAUUCCUGACGCUGAGGCGCGAAAGCGUGGGGAGCAAACGGG
This 253-nucleotide ribosomal RNA is filed under the name uncultured bacterium. RNAcentral describes it as "partial 16S ribosomal RNA". It matches the Rfam family "Bacterial small subunit ribosomal RNA", at positions 524 to 776 of the family's 1533-position model. The record is from RNAcentral.